RNAcentral lists this unclassified non-coding RNA (295 nucleotides) under Glomus sp. RNAcentral describes it as "partial contains 5.8S ribosomal RNA and internal transcribed spacer 2". Lineage: Eukaryota; Fungi; Glomeromycota; Glomeromycetes; Glomerales; Glomeraceae. The record is from RNAcentral.
GUGAAUCAUCGAAUUUUUGGACGCAAAUUGCACUCUCCUCGAAGAGUAUGCCUGUUUGAGGGCGAGCCUCUAAAAAUCGACAACGUUGCUGUUUCGCGGUGGCGUCCGUCGGAAAUUGGCGCAUCUUAAAUCCUUUUGAUUUAAGCGACUUAAAAUUUUCUUUUGGUUCCAUGAACGAUUAUAAGAUCUAUUUCUUUACACGUUUACGGUAUCGAUUUUUACUAGACGUGACCAUCAUAUCGGAUCGGGUCCAUAAUCCUUCAUUAACUGACCUCAGCCAGGUAAGAGGAACUGU